AGCAGCCGCCACGGUAAUACGUAGGUCCCGAGCGUUGUCCGGAUUUAUUGGGCGUAAAGCGAGCGCAGGCGGUUAGAUAAGUCUGAAGUUAAAGGCUGUGGCUUAACCAUAGUACGCUUUGGAAACUGUUUAACUUGAGUGCAAGAGGGGAGAGUGGAAUUCCAUGUGUAGCGGUGAAAUGCGUAGAUAUAUGGAGGAACACCGGUGGCGAAAGCGGCUCUCUGGUCUGUAACUGACGCUGAGGCUCGAAAGCGUGGGGAGCAAACAGGAUUAGAUACCCCUGUAGUCCCUGUCUCUUAUACC
Molecule: ribosomal RNA, 303 nt
Filed under: uncultured bacterium
Lineage: Bacteria
Description: partial 16S ribosomal RNA
Rfam family: Bacterial small subunit ribosomal RNA
Source: RNAcentral